UGUUACUUUUGCCGGUGUUUGCAUGCCUAGAAGGAGCUAUGAGGAUGGGCUUUGAAGCUGGGAGCAGCUCAGUAAUUCAGAGCAGGGGCCUGAGGCGACAUGUGUUCAGGGAGAAGCUCCAGCCGUGUGGAAGCGUGGGGGACUGGGACCCAGAGCAUGACUCAGAGACCACAGGGCUGAAAAGGCCACAUUCCCUGAGGCUGCAUAGAGAGAUCAGCAGCGUAGCCCUUCCAGCGCACCUAGCACUGGGGAGGCCACAGCAGUCCAUUUUCCCAGUUUCCAAGGCUACACUUUUCCGAGGACCAGUGAUCAUCCAUCAAUUUACAUCCCUAAAAGAAACCCAUGUCCAGUCCAUACCUACCUAUUCAACAUGGUAGCUAUCUUCUUGUUAGCUCAGCCUUAAAUGCCACAUUCUGACAAGGGCCACCUGGUUCCAAGCUCGAGUUCACCCAGCAGCAUCUUAUGACAAGCUGCAAAAACACCUGACAGCUCCAGCUCACAGCCUUUUAGCAUGUGCAAGACUCUACUUACAGGGCCGUCAAUGGCAUGGGCAGGCUGUUUGAAACCCUGUCCCCAGUGAAUGUCCCAGAGCACCCGUGCAGAGCACCCUAAAAAGGCUGCUAACCCUCUGCAGAGGCACUCAGCCCCUAUUUCCCCCACUGUCCCCAGGGAGCUGACAGAUGCAAAGACAUAACGGUGGUGUGCAUAGCGA
Pezoporus flaviventris is the source of this 712-nucleotide long non-coding RNA. RefSeq lists it as uncharacterized. The transcript is spliced from 2 exons. Lineage: Eukaryota; Metazoa; Chordata; Aves; Psittaciformes; Psittacidae. The record is from RefSeq and is a predicted model, not a curated record.